Molecule: ribosomal RNA, 467 nt
Filed under: uncultured bacterium
Lineage: Bacteria
Description: bacterial SSU rRNA
Rfam family: Bacterial small subunit ribosomal RNA
Source: RNAcentral
UAAGGAAUAUUGGUCAAUGGAGGCAACUCUGAACCAGCCAUGCCGCGUGCAGGAAGAAGGCCCUAUGGGUCGUAAACUGCUUUUGAACAAGAGAAAACCCCGGUACGUGUACUGGGUUGAUAGUAUUGUUAGAAUAAGCAUCGGCUAACUUCGUGCCAGCAGCCGCGGUAAGACGAAGGAUGCAAGCGUUAUCCGGAUUCAUUGGGUUUAAAGGGUGCGUAGGCGGACUGAUAAGUCAGUGGUGAAAUCUCUCGGCUUAACCGAGAAACUGCCAUUGAUACUGUUAGUCUAGAGUACAGAUGAUGUGGGCGGAAUAUGACAUGUAGUGGUGAAAUACUUAGAUAUGUCAUAGAUCACCGAUUGCGAAGGCAGCUCACAAAACUGUAACUGACGCUGAGGCACGAAAGUGCGGGGAUCAAACAGGAUUAGAUACCCACGUAGUCCCUGAGCGGGCUGGCAAGGCGCAU